Rhinopithecus roxellana (golden snub-nosed monkey) is the source of this 821-nucleotide long non-coding RNA. RefSeq lists it as uncharacterized. NCBI's taxonomy places the organism in Eukaryota, Metazoa, Chordata, Mammalia, Primates, Cercopithecidae. The record is from RefSeq and is a predicted model, not a curated record. The transcript has 4 exons.
AAGACGGGCCGUGAAGUGAAAGGCCCCCAAGGGCGGCCUGACUCUUUCUUGUUGGGUGUUAGAGAUGUGAUGUUUGCCAGAAACAAAGCAGACAAGGUCUUAGCCUAUUUGGCUAAAACAAUUUUGCACUGUUGAAAAGUAGAAAAGGGGCCAAAAGGAGGAGAUGUAGCAGCUCAGAAACAGAAGAAGAAUAAAGAAAGAAAUGAUUGAGAUGAUUCUGCGGGGCAACCUUGAGGAUUUCUCAUCCAUAUGAAUGAGGGCGUCAUGUUAUCGGCUGUGGCCCUGUGCUGAGUCCUCCUCCUGCCCACGGCCGUCUCCUCCCGGUCUGUGGUCAGCCACCUGAACAUGGCCGACUUUGUCUUCAGUUUCCUCUGCGUCGGCAUUGGGCUCCUGAUUUGUCUUCAGCCUGACGCUCUUUUCAGUUAACUGGAAGGUGGUGCACCCAAGCCCGGUGGUGUCCUGCCUGGUGACCUCCUACCUGUGCUGGGAAGCCAGCGACUUGAUGCUGCACCCCGGUGAGGGCGAGGCCUCGGGAGGAGGGUGGGGCCUCGGGAAGUGGGUGGGGCCUAGAGUGGGACUCGUAGUCCAGCGGCCCACCUAGCCAUCUCCCAGGAGCUGUGUCCUACCUAAGCCCAGUGGGCAUGUGGAGCAGAGGGCAGCCCUUGAAUGCGCGGCGGCUGAGCUAUCGUGGGUGAGCCUUGCAGCAGCGCACAGCAAGGCGGACAUCCAAACAGCGGAACUCAGACACAGACUCCGAGCACACCCUGGGCCUUCCUAUUUCGUGCACCCUCAAGGAGGAGAACCAAGCACUUCCCAGGAAU